RNAcentral lists this ribosomal RNA (253 nucleotides) under uncultured bacterium. RNAcentral describes it as "partial 16S ribosomal RNA". It matches the Rfam family "Bacterial small subunit ribosomal RNA", at positions 524 to 776 of the family's 1533-position model. The record is from RNAcentral.
UACGUAGGGUGCAAGCGUUGUCCGGAAUUAUUGGGCGUAAAGAGCUCGUAGGCGGUUUGUCGCGUCUGCUGUGAAAAUCCGGGGCUCAACCCCGGACUUGCAGUGGGUACGGGCAGACUAGAGUGUGGUAGGGGAGACUGGAAUUCCUGGUGUAGCGGUGAAAUGCGCAGAUAUCAGGAGGAACACCGAUGGCGAAGGCAGGUCUCUGGGCCACUACUGACGCUGAGAAGCGAAAGCAUGGGGAGCGAACCGG